GACGAACGCUGGCGGCGUGCUUAACACAUGCAAGUCGAACGGAAAGGCCCUGCUUUUGUGGGGUGCUCGAGUGGCGAACGGGUGAGUAACACGUGAGUAACCUGCCCUUGACUUUGGGAUAACUUCAGGAAACUGGGGCUAAUACCGGAUAGGAGCUCCUGCUGCAUGGUGGGGGUUGGAAAGUUUCGGCGGUUGGGGAUGGACUCGCGGCUUAUCAGCUUGUUGGUGGGGUAGGGGCUUACCAAGGCUUUGACGGGUAGCCGGCCUGUGUGGGUGACCGGCCACAUUGGGACUGAGAGACGGCCCAGACUCCUACGGGAGGCAGCAGUGGGGAAUAUUGCACAAUGGGCGGAGGCCUGAUGCAGCAACGCCGCGUGCGGGAUGACGGCCUUCGGGUUGUAAACCGCUUUCGCCUGUGACGAAGCGUGAGUGACGGUAAUGGGUAAAGAAGCACCGGCUAACUACGUG
This 468-nucleotide ribosomal RNA is filed under the name uncultured bacterium. RNAcentral's name for it is "partial 16S ribosomal RNA". It matches the Rfam family "Bacterial small subunit ribosomal RNA", at positions 28 to 507 of the family's 1533-position model. The record is from RNAcentral.